This 291-nucleotide long non-coding RNA is filed under the name Vitis vinifera (wine grape). Its description in RNAcentral is "long non-coding RNA (VVIN_LNC001020)". Lineage: Eukaryota; Viridiplantae; Streptophyta; Magnoliopsida; Vitales; Vitaceae. The record is from RNAcentral.
AGAGCUUGAAGAUAGAGGGAGAGGUCGGAGGAAAAGAAAAAAAGAAGAGAAAGAGAGUUCUGGAAGAAUUUUGGUUGAUUUUUUGAAUGAGAUUUAGAAGAAAAUUGUAGACAUGGAGAUCACGUUUCCGGGUGGAACUUCUAAAGGACGCAUGGGCUGAUUCGGGGACUGUUUGUGGUGAAGGAACACACGAGCCAGAUCGAAGAAGCAGACACAACUAGACUGAGAAGAAAAAGUGACACAACCGUGAAAGAGGGUAGUUGUAAGCAAGGAAAGGGAAUGAAAUCAUGG